This 7009-nucleotide long non-coding RNA is filed under the name Salvia miltiorrhiza (redroot sage). Its description in RNAcentral is "long non-coding RNA (SMIL_LNC007738)". Lineage: Eukaryota; Viridiplantae; Streptophyta; Magnoliopsida; Lamiales; Lamiaceae. The record is from RNAcentral.
CUUAAUAUAACUAAACUUGAGAAAACUAUUUAUAAAAGUCUUUCAAUAAAAUUUGAACUGAAAAAAAAUGAUAAUUAAAUAAAUUAUAAUUGCUACUUAGAAGAGUAAUUAAAAUAAAAACCCAAUUGAUUAUUAUAAUUAAGGCCCAACCACUUAAUAAACUGAGCCCAAUUAAUUAAAACUAACCUAAGCCCAAGCCCCAAGCCCACUAUCAACCUCUAAUUUAAACUCACACCCAACUCCACUCCACACAUUCACACGCAGCUCACUCCCUCUCUCCCUUCCUCCCUCGGCCUUCUUCCUCUCGGCCUCUUGCCGCCGCACCUCCGGACGGCAGCGCCGUCAGCGCAGACCGGCGGCUCCGCCGCCUCUCCCUCUUCUUCCUAUCUCCCUCUUCCCUCACUCUCACUCCCUCUGUCCCUCUCCUCACCGCGUCUCCCCCUUCUCCGGCGACCCUCGCCGUCUGCCAGCACCUCCUCCUGGCCGUCAGCAGCGGCACCCUUGUCGCCGCCGUGUCGACAGCACAAGCCGGUCAGGCCGCCUUCUCCCUCUUCCUGAAAAGAGACGCACAGCCGAGACCAUAGCGCCGCCGCCCUGCUCCUUCCGCCACCACCCCCUGCUUCCUUCCGCCGGCCGCCAUGGCGCGCAGCGCCGGCGGUACUGCUGCUCAACCACCCCUCCCCCUGUUCUAAGCCACAACCCCUUUCCAGUUCAUUCUUUCUAUUUUCCUUUUCUUCUUGUAAGCAGUGAUAUGCAUGUUUGAAUUAGAAAAAAAUAAGAACUUUUGUGGGUGUUUGGUUUUGUGCAGAGAUGAACAACAGUAAAUGAAAUAACUUUGUAAAAUCAAUUAAAAUUUACCAGCUUGGAUUCUGUAAUGAGAGAUGGAAAUGGGUUUGUAUGCUGUAGGCGAAACAGACGAGGAAAAGGCGAAUUGGGGACGAUGAUUUGAGGUUUAAAUAGAGCUGCAAGAUUAAGUUUUUACCACAAAAAUGAAACGUGAGCUGCUUGUUCACGUAAGAAAAUUUGUGGAUGAUAAAGGAACCAAAAUUGUGGUUGAGAAAACUGGACGUGCUCCCCAAGCUGAAAAUGGAAAUGAGUGGGCUCUUAAUGUUGAAAGUAAAUUUUGAGAUAAGGCCCAAUAGAGAAAUUUGUAAUAUUCAAUUAUGGCCCAACUUUGAGCAUAAAAAUUUCAUUUGUUAAGUUAAUAAUCUGCAAUCUAAAAUUAUUUAUCUAACUAGGGGCGCGACUAUAUAAUUCACGAACUUGCUAUAUAAAUAUUCUUUUCAUGAUUUAAAAAUUAGUUAAAAUAUAAAUAAUGAAAUCAAACAAAUAUCCAGAUAAUCAAAUAAUUAAAUGGGUUUCGGGCUGUCACAACCCUACCCACUAAAAGAAAAUUUCGUCCUCGAAAUUUAACUUACUUGGUUCUAAGUGGGGAUAGCGAGCUAGGAUUUCUUCUUCACGUUCCCAAGUUGCUUCAUCAGGUCCGUGCCUAGUCCAUUGAAUUUUUACUAAGGGUAUUUCUUUACCCCGCAAAACCUUUACCUUCCGAUCCAGUAUGACAUUCGGCUCCUCUUCGUACGUGAGGUCCUUAUUGAUUUGGAGUUCUUCAUGAUGAAUGAUGUGACUAGGAUCGUGCAGAUAUUUUCGCAGCAUGGAGACGUGAAACACGUUAUGUACAGCCGACAAUUCUGGCGUUAAAGCUAAACGAUAGGCUACAUCUCCUAUGCGCUCUAGGAUUUCAAAAGGUCCAAUGAAUCGAGGUCUCAACUUUCCUUUCUUGCCGAAUCGUAGGACUCCUUUCAUUGGUGCCACUUUGAGAAACACCUUUUCGCCCACCUCAAAAUGUAACUCUUUUCGCCUGCGAUCAGCAUAUGAUUUCUGUCGAUCCUGAGCCAUUUUAAUCUUCUCUUUUAUUUUCCCGAUGACCUCAACCGUUCUCUCAACGAUUUCCGGGCCCAACACUUUUCGUUCACCAACUUCGUCCCAAUAUAGUGGCGAUCUACACUUUCUCCCAUAUAACGCUUCGUAUGGAGGCAUGCCAAGGGUCGUUUGAAAACUGUUGUUAUAUGCGAAUUCGAUCAAGGGCAGGUGAGUUUCCCAAUUGCCUCCAAUAUCCAUGACACUAGUUCGCAGCAUGUCUUCUAGAAUUUGAAUAGUUCUUUCAGAUUGUCCAUCUGUUUGAGGAUGAUAUGCUGUUGAAAAGUUGAGCUUCGUUCCCAUGGCUGCAUGUAAACUUUUCCAAAACCUGGACGUGAAUCUUGGAUCUCGAUCAGAAACAAUGGAUACUGGCACUCCAUGUAGUCUCACCACUUCUUGAACAUACAAUCUCGCCAAUUGGUNUCAAUAAUUCUCAUCGCGGUUUUACUCACGCGAAGCUAACUGGCUUAGUAAUAAAAUAAUAACCCUGCUUCAAUUAGAAUAUAAUCCAGUGUCAUAAGCUGAAUUUAAAUCAUAAAUAAUUACUGGACUUGAUUUACUGAAAGAUGAAAUAAUAAUUAUCGUAUUACUGGAUUUAAAUAUAAUAAAAGAGCGGGCUACUACAGUCGAUGAAAACUAUGACGAACUUGUCCAAAUAUGAGUGAAAAACACGAUUCAUCAGGUCCAUAAAUACCGCUGGAGCAUUGGUUAGACCGAAUGGCAUAACUACAAACUCAUAAUGACCGUAUCUUGUCCGAAAAGCUGUUUUAGGUACAUCAGUACCCUUUAUCUUGAGUUGGUGGUAGCCCGACCUCAAAUCAAUUUUAGAAAACACCUUUGCACCUUUCAAUUGGUCGAACAAAUCUUCUAUCCUUGGUAGAGGAUACUUGUUCUUGAUGGUAAGUCGAUUAAGCUCACGGUAGUCGAUACACAUACGCAUUGUCCCAUCUUUCUUCUUAACAAACAAGACAGGCGCUCCCCAAGGUGAUACACUUGGCCGUAUGAACCCUAUGUCCAAAAGCUCUUGUAGUUGUGUUUUCAAUUCCUCCAAUUCCUUUGGUGCCAUCCUAUAUGGUGCUUUUGAAACGGGUGCUGUUCCAGGCACUAAGUCGAUCGCGAACUCCACUUGCCUGUCUGGUGGUAUUCCAGGUAAAUUCUCGGGAAAAACAUCGGGGUAAUCACGUACCACUGGCACACUUUGGAGAGUAAGUUUUUCAUGUUCCUUGCCUACAAUGCUUACGAGAUAAGCCUCGCCAAAGCCUUUGUUCAAUAUCUUUAUCGCUUUCAUCGCAGAUAUCACCAUAGGCAUUCUUCCUAACUUUGAUCCUUGGAACGAAAAUUCUUUCUUUCCUGGUACUUUGAAAGUAACUUCCCUUUCGUGACACUUAAUUGUCGCAAAGUUUCGACUUAGCCAGUCCAUUCCCAAAAUCACAUCGAAGUCGUGCAUCUCUAUGAGGUACAAAUCGGCUUCAAACUUUCUAUUUCUAAAGUUCAAGGGAAUUCUCCGAGCAAUCCUAUUCGUUUUAAUGCAUUCUCCAGAAGGAACACUUAUGUUCAAGGCUAAGUUUUCUACUUCACAAGGGAUAUGAUUCUUUUGACAAAACUUAGCAGAAAUGAACGAGUGCGAAGCUCCAGAAUCAAAUAGAACAACUGCUGGUGUUCCAGAUAUGAGUAACGUACCAGUCAUUGUGUCAUCGUCCUCUGCUUCUUCUUGAUCAGCUAAAGCGAAGAAUCGAGCAUUUCCUUUCUUUUCUGGCUCUUUGCCUCCUCUUUUGUCUGGCCCAACAUUUUUCUUCCCUUCUAGCGCAUUGUUCAUCUUUUUAGGACAAUUAUGUGUAGUGUGCCCCGGUUCGUGGCAAAAGAAACAAACUCCUUUACCCCACAUGCACUCUCCAUAGUGAUAUUUUCCACAUUUCUGGCAUUGUGGUCUUGUCCCCGUUGUUCCUGGAUUAACGCCUCCACCAAACUUCGGCCUCUUAUCUUGGAAGUUUCCUCCGCCUUGAUUAUAGUUCUCCCACUUCCUUUUCAUAGGUUGAUUCGCUGGCUUUUGUGCAGGGAUGUUUGACCCAAGAGCAGUUGCCACCUCUUCGGCUCGCUUAACCAAAUCGCUAAAAUCUUCAAUUACAUGUGCAGCCAUAAUUCCCUUGAUGUCAUUUCUCAGUCCCUUUCUAAACCUAGCUAUCAUUUUGUCUUCUGUGUCAACUAGGUGUGGUGCAAAACGAGCCAACUCAUUAAAUUUUCUCUCGUACUCCUCUAUAGUCAUAUUUCCUUGUUUCAACUCAAAGAACUCGGUUUCCUUCUUUUCUCUGAAUGACAGGGGAAAGUAUUUAUCCAUUACUACUCCCUUGAAGAUUUUCCAAUUGAGAACAUUGCGAUCCUCUUCUCCCAACAGACGAUAGAAAUGUUUCCACCAUUGUCGAGCGUCCUCUUUAAGUUGAAAAACAGCACAUGAAACUUUCUGUUCCUCGGUACAGUUGAUGUGAGUGAAAAUCCGUUCAAGCUCUUCCAACCACUCUUCAGCUGCUAGCGGUCCAUCACGUCCAUUGAACCGUGGCGGAUUAUUGUUCCGAAAUCGCUCUACCGCUUGAUCUAUCGUGUUAGAGGUCUGGUUUAGGUCACGUUGUGUGGCCUGAGUUUGGGUUUGGUGCUGGACAAAACCCUGUAAAGCACUCAGAAAUUGACCCAUGAAGUCUCCUCCAUUAGUUGGAUGAGGUUGUUCUGCUUCUGCUUCGGAAUUGGUAUUUGAGUUCUCGGCGUGGUGGGAAUGUGCACGCGUAUUCCUCAUGGUUCUAUAAUCAAAGGCACUAUGACAUAAAUGAAAGAUUAUAAAACAAGGUUAUUCCUAAUUCGAGGACUAUGUUCAACAUGAAAAUUUUAAACUCAUCAAAACUCAAUAUCAUGCACUGUAAAAUUCCGAAAUAAAAUUCAUGGCUGCAAUAAUUUUCAACAUAAUAACUUGCAUACUGAACUUGAACUUUCUGAUAAUAACUUCAACUAUUGCAGCAAAAUUCAACAUAAAUUUCGGAAUAUAAACAGUUUAUACUCAUCCCCUUGAAAACUUUUAAAAUAACUUUUACCUUGAAGUCGGAGCGCGUAGUGGUCGAAUGGCUUCGUCACAAAUGACUUGAAAAUAUUUUAAGAAAAACAUUUUAUUUUGCAGAGUCUACAGGAAAGUAGACCUGCUCUGAUACCAUGCUGUAACACCCUAAUCUAAUUAAAGUGUUAAAUAUGAAUUUAAAUAAUUUUUGACAGCGAAAAUAUCAUAAAAUAAAGAUUUGGAUUUAUUUUCAAAUAAAUAAAUUUUUAAAUAAAAUAUUUGAAAUAACUUAAAAAGAAGGCCAGCCAUGAUAGGAAGCUAAUAUGAUAACACUAAACUCGAUAAGUUACACCAAAAUCUCAAGAGUAGUUUGAGACUUCGAAAACUGUACAAAGCAAAAGGUUAGGUGUAACUACAACAUUAUAUUUUCCAAAAAUAUUUACUUGACGCGCUCAUUCGAUCCUCUACGCGUCUCCAACCUUAGUUACCUGAAAAUGUUAAAUAUGGGAUGAGCAUAUGAAAUAUACUCAGUGUGGGAACAUGCAAUAAUUGUCCACGUUAAUAAAAUGGUCAACACAUAAGCACUGCACUGUAAUACUGAUAACUGAAAUUCGCACGGUGGCAUACCAAGGACUUUAAAGUCCUGGACCCAUUGAGUGGGCCCCUGGCGAAUAGGUUGCAACCCUAACUGUAACAUGAAAUCGCAUUGUGGCAUACCAAGGACGGUGAAGUCCUGGACCCAUUGAGCGGGCCCCUAGCGAUAUAACUGAAUUUACAACACAUAUGGCAAACACAUAAUAUUAAAAUGGACAAAAAUUACCACGGCAUGUACUGAAUAAAUCCCACACCUGUAACUUGAACUUGAAAAUUACUGCUAGAAAUGUAAAGUUCACGUUCCUAGUCGCGCCGCACCUAGUCAGAUAAAUUCAAAUAGUAACAUAAGGGCCUAAUUGAACUUUACAAAAUACCUUAAUAUAACUAAACUUGAGAAAACUAAUUUAUAAAAGUCUUUUCAAUAAAAUUUGAACUGAAAAAAAAUGAUUAAUUAAAUAAAUUAUAAUUGCUACUUAGAAGAGUAAUUAAAAUAAAAACCCAAUUGAUUAUUAUAAUUAAGGCCCAACCACUUAAUAAACUGAGCCCAAUUAAUUAAAACUAACCUAAGCCCAAGCCCCAAGCCCACUAUCAACCUCUAAUUUAAACUCACACCCAACUCCACUCCACACAUUCACACGCAGCUCACUCCCUCUCUCCCUUCCUCCCUCGGCCUUCUUCCUCUCGGCCUCUUGCCGCCGCACCUCCGGACGGCAGCGCCGUCAGCGCAGACCGGCGGCUCCGCCGCCUCUCCCUCUUCUUCCUAUCUCCCUCUUCCCUCACUCUCACUCCCUCUGUCCCUCUCCUCACCGCGUCUCCCCCUUCUCCGGCGACCCUCGCCGUCUGCCAGCACCUCCUCCUGGCCGUCAGCAGCGGCACCCUUGUCGCCGCCGUGUCGACAGCACAAGCCGGUCAGGCCGCCUUCUCCCUCUUCCUGAAAAGAGACGCACAGCCGAGACCAUAGCGCCGCCGCCCUGCUCCUUCCGCCACCACCCCCUGCUUCCUUCCGCCGGCCGCCAUGGCGCGCAGCGCCGGCGGUACUGCUGCUCAACCACCCCUCCCCCUGUUCUAAGCCACAACCCCCUUUCCAGUUCAUUCUUUCUAUUUUCCUUUUCUUCUUGUAAAGCAGUGAAUAUGCAUGUUUGAAUUAGAAAAAAAAUAAGAACUUUUGUGGGUGUUUGGUUUUGUGCAGAGAUGAACAACAGUAAAUGAAAUAACUUUGUAAAAUCAAUUAAAAUUUACCAGCUUGGAUUCUGUAAUGAGAGAUGGAAAUGGGUUUGUAUGCUGUAGGCGAAACAGACGAGGAAAAGGCGAAUUGGGGGACGAUGAUUUGAGGUUAAAUAGAGCUGCAAGAUUAAGUUUUUACCACAAAAAUGAAACGUGAGCUGCUUGUUCACGUAAGAAAAUUUGUGGAUGAUAAAGGAACCAAAAUUGUGGUUGAGAAAACUGGACGUGCUCCCCAAG